GGUCGUAAAGAUCUAUAAUCGGGGACGAAAAAAAUGACGGUACCUGAAGAAUAAGCUCCGGCUAACUACGUGCCAGCAGCCGCGGUAAUACGUAGGGAGCAAGCGUUAUCCGGAUUUACUGGGUGUAAAGGGCGCGCAGGCGGGCCGGCAAGUUGGAAGUGAAAUCUAUGGGCUUAACCCAUAAACUGCUUUCAAAACUGCUGGUCUUGAGUGAUGGAGAGGCCAGGCGGACUUCCGUGUGUUGCGGUGNUGUGCGUUGNUCUUCGGAGGAGCUCCUGUGGCGUCGGCGGCCUGCUGGACACUAAUUGACGGUGAGGCGCGAAAGCGUGGGGUGCCUCCUAAGGGCCUUCCCCUGGUAGUCCACGCCGUAAACGAUGGAUACUAGGUGUGGGAGGUAUUGACCCCUUCCGUGCCGCAGUUAACACAAUAAGUAUCCCACCUGGGGAGUACGGCCGCAAGGUUGAAACUCAAAGGAAUUGACGGGGGCCCGCACAAGCAGUGGAGUAUGUGGUUUAAUUUGAAGCAACGCGAAGAACCUUACCAGGUCUUGACAUCCCGAUGACCGCCUUAGAGAUAAGGCUUUUUUUUGGAACAUCGGUGACAGGUGGUGCAUGGUUGUCGUCAGCUCGUGUCGUGAGAUGUUGGGUUAAGUCCCGCAACGAGCGCAACCCUUACGGUUAGUUGAUACGCAAGAUCACUCUAGCCGGACUGCCGUUGACAAAACGGAGGAAGGUGGGGAGGACGUCAAAUCAUCAUGCCCCUUAUGACCUGGGGUACACACGUACUACAAUGGCAGUCAUACAGAGGGAAGCAAAACCGCGAGGUGGAGCAAAUCCCUAAAAGCUGUCCCAGUUCAGAUUGCAGGCUGCAACCCGCCUGCAUGAAGUCGGAAUUGCUAGUAAUCGCGGAUCAGCAUGCCGCGGUGAAAAAGGUCCCGGGCCUUGCACA
RNAcentral lists this ribosomal RNA (948 nucleotides) under uncultured bacterium. RNAcentral describes it as "bacterial SSU rRNA". It matches the Rfam family "Bacterial small subunit ribosomal RNA", at positions 421 to 1387 of the family's 1533-position model. The record is from RNAcentral.